This 484-nucleotide ribosomal RNA is filed under the name uncultured bacterium. RNAcentral's name for it is "partial 16S ribosomal RNA". It matches the Rfam family "Bacterial small subunit ribosomal RNA", at positions 30 to 507 of the family's 1533-position model. The record is from RNAcentral.
AUUGAACGCUGGCGGCAGGCCUAACACAUGCAAGUCGAGCGGAUGAAGGGAGCUUGCUCCUGGAUUCAGCGGCGGACGGGUGAGUAAUGCCUAGGAAUCUGCCUGGUUGUGGGGGAUAACGCCCGGAAACGGGCGCUAAUACCGCAUACGUCCUGAGGGAGAAAGUGGGGGAUCUUCGGACCUCACGCUAUCAGAUGAGCCUAGGUCGGAUUAGCUAGUUGGUGGGGUAAAGGCCUACCAAGGCGACGAUCCGUAACUGGUCUGAGAGGAUGAUCAGUCACACUGGAACUGAGACACGGUCCAGACUCCUACGGGAGGCAGCAGUGGGGAAUAUUGGGCAAUGGGCGAAAGCCUGAUCCAGCCAUGCCGCGUGUGUGAAGAAGGUCUUCGGAUUGUAAAGCACUUUUAGUUGGGAGGAAGGGCAGUAAGUUAAUACCUUGCUGUUUUGACGUUACCAACAGAAUAAGCACCGGCUAACUUCGUG